UUAUCGCUCGAACUACUGCCAAGGUCUC
This 28-nucleotide small RNA is filed under the name Bombyx mori (domestic silkworm). RNAcentral's name for it is "piRNA piR-bmo-1254417". The record is from RNAcentral. Lineage: Eukaryota; Metazoa; Arthropoda; Insecta; Lepidoptera; Bombycidae.